RNAcentral lists this ribosomal RNA (350 nucleotides) under uncultured eukaryote. Its description in RNAcentral is "SSU rRNA". It matches the Rfam family "Eukaryotic small subunit ribosomal RNA", at positions 594 to 945 of the family's 1831-position model. The record is from RNAcentral.
AUAGCGUAUAUUAAAGUUGUUGUGGUUAAAAAGCUCGUAGUUGGAUCUCAGUUCGAGUCAGACGGUCCACUUGCCAGUGGUUACUGUUUGGACUGAACACUUUAUCGAGUUGUCCUAUGGUGCUCUUCACCGAGUGUCAUAGGCGAUCGAUACGUUUACUUUGAAAAAAUUAGAGUGCUCAAAGCAGGCUACACAAGCCCGAAUAAUGUUGCAUGGAAUAAUGGAAUAGGACCUCGGUUCUAUUUUGUUGGUCUUCGGAAUCUGAGGUAAUGAUUAAGAGGGACAGACGGGGGCAUUCGUAUUGCGACGCUAGAGGUGAAAUUCUUGGACCGUUGCAAGACGAACAAAAG